This 253-nucleotide ribosomal RNA is filed under the name uncultured bacterium. Its description in RNAcentral is "partial 16S ribosomal RNA". It matches the Rfam family "Bacterial small subunit ribosomal RNA", at positions 524 to 776 of the family's 1533-position model. The record is from RNAcentral.
GACGAAGGGGGCUAGCGUUGUUCGGAAUUACUGGGCGUAAAGCGCGUGUAGGCGGUUGCCCAAGUCGGGUGUGAAAGCCUUGAGCUCAACUCAAGAAAUGCACUCGGUACUGGGUGACUAGAGGACCGGAGAGGAUAGUGGAAUUCCCAGUGUAGUGGUGAAAUACGUAGAUAUUAGGAAGAACACCGGUGGCGAAGGCGGCCCACUGGCUCGAUACUGACGCUGAGGUGCGAAAGCGUGGGGAGCAAACAGG